GCGGGAGUGGUGAAACUGGCAGACACGCAGGAUUUAGGUUCCUGUGCCGCAAGGUGUGAGGGUUCGAGUCCCUUCUCCCGCACCA
Molecule: transfer RNA, 85 nt
Filed under: Austwickia sp.
Lineage: Bacteria; Bacillati; Actinomycetota; Actinomycetes; Micrococcales; Dermatophilaceae
Description: tRNA-Leu
Rfam family: tRNA
About the family: Transfer RNA (tRNA) molecules are approximately 80 nucleotides in length. Their secondary structure includes four short double-helical elements and three loops (D, anti-codon, and T loops).
Source: RNAcentral